UACGUAGGGGGCGAGCGUUGUCCGGAUUCACUGGGCGUAAAGCGCGCGUAGGCGGCUCGUUAAGUCGGAUGUGAAAACCCGGGGCUCAACCCCGGGCCUGCACCCGAUACUGGCGAGCUGGAGGCAGGUAGGGGAGAUCGGAAUUCCCGGUGUAGCGGUGAAAUGCGCAGAUAUCGGGAGGAACACCGGUGGCGAAGGCGGAUCUCUGGGCCUGUCCUGACGCUCAGGCGCGAAAGCUAGGGGAGCAAACAGG
RNAcentral lists this ribosomal RNA (253 nucleotides) under uncultured bacterium. Its description in RNAcentral is "partial 16S ribosomal RNA". It matches the Rfam family "Bacterial small subunit ribosomal RNA", at positions 524 to 776 of the family's 1533-position model. The record is from RNAcentral.